Prosopis cineraria is the source of this 1296-nucleotide RNA transcript. It is a transcript of the gene named dolichol-phosphate mannose synthase subunit 3-like, with no coding region annotated. The record is from RefSeq and is a predicted model, not a curated record. The transcript has 3 exons. NCBI's taxonomy places the organism in Eukaryota, Viridiplantae, Streptophyta, Magnoliopsida, Fabales, Fabaceae.
UCGUGUUGUACUAAUGAAGAGAAGACCUAGCAAAUUCAGGGAACGCGGCCACUCACUAAGCUUUGCAGCAGCCACCUUUGUAGAGAUUGUCAAUCUUCAUCACAAAUCACAAGCAUCCCUCCAUCGACUGAAAAGUCUCGUCCCCUGAAAAGGUUUUGAAAAUAAAGAGUGGUCUGCUGUUCUAUCAGGAGCGUUCUUAGUUGCUGUGUAGUACUUCGCAAGUUUUCAUUCUUUUUAUUACUUUUGUUGUAUUUAAGGUAUCCGUAUUCUAGCUUGUUGUUUUGAAUGCCUUCAACAUGCAGGUUGUUGUCCAUUGUUGUGGUUUGGCCAUUGUGCAUAGGUUCAUUGUUUGAUUGUAUCAUGUUAUGAUUGUCAUUUGCCCUCGAAGCCCACUGUGUUUUUGUUUUUAGGAUUUCUGUUUUCAGUUUAGAAAUGACCUUUUAUUUUUCUUUCUUGUGUUUGGAGAAAAUUUCUUUUGACUUUUGUGUAUUCUUCAUUGUUAAUGCUAAGCAGAUUAAGGUGAAGAUUUUUGAACCUUUUGAUCACCUUGUGUUGAUCACAUUGCUAAGCAAUAUAGAUUUAAUUGGUGUUUCUGUGUGAAAGUGUUAAUAUGUCUAAAUUAUGUAGGCAAUCCUGCAUUUUAGGCCUUAACUUGAAGUUUUAUGAUAGUAAAUGCUGUUUCAUAUGUAGACACCCAUAUAAAAAAAGCAUUUAGACAACCUAAUUCUGUGGUUUCACUCUUUCCUCUUCUUUUCUGUUGAAACUUGAAAUUGCAGAUUGAAAAAAAUGAAGCAUAUUGUGAAGAUUAUAACAUUAUUAAUGGCCAUCACCACUGUAUGGGUUGGCCUUUUGCAAACUUCUAUGAUUCCAAGCAGCCAUACUUGGUCGUUGAGUGCUCAUGUUUUUGUGUUUCUUUAUCUUUUAGUGGAAUUUAUUCUGUGCAAUACUUACAAUGCCUUGUUUCCCCCCUUUAUCCAGCUACUUGUUUAUUGCAUUGUGUCUUUAGGAUGCUAUGGCUUAUUAAUGGUUGGAGUAGGUCUCAUGCAAUUUCCUACCUGUCCUAGAGAGGCCCUGCUGUUGCAACAGGACAUUAUUGAGGCCAAGGGCUAUUUGAAGCAAAGAGGAAUUGAUGUCAGUGUCAGCUGAAGCAAUGAUCUCAUGAACAUGAUGCAGCAAAAUUAUAAUCUGUCUGAUCACAAUUAUCUGAUUGAGAAUUCUCAACAGUAUAUUUAUCUUGAUAAUUGUAUUCUAAUUUGAUAAUUUCUAAAGUGAAAAUCUCAGAAAAUUUCAUUGAUA